UUUGGUUACAGUUGUACGUUAUCUGUACAAUGUAACCAUAUAACAUGAUUAUUCAGGUGACAGUGGGUACCCGCUGAAGACGUGGCUCCUCACCCCUCUCGCCAACCCACUGACUGAACAAGAGCGAUGUUAUACUGACCUCCACUCUCGGGCUCGGGCAGUGGUAGAAUGUACUAUAGGGCAGCUUAAGGGCCGUUGGCGCUGCCUGGAUAAGACUGGUGGAGUGCUGCUCUAUAGUCCACAGAAAGUGUGUCGCAUCGUGCAAACAUGUAGCAUUCUACAUAAUAUGGCACUCAUUCGGAACUUGCCCGUACCUGAAGAGAUGCGAUAUGAUGAACCUGACCCUAGACCACCAAAUGAUCAGCCACACCGGACAGCAUUACAAUGUCGAAUGAAUGUAAUUAACAGAAUGUAAAAACAGGACUGCAUCAGUCAGCACACGGCCAGAUGAUCGCCCACCAGUUUCCGAGGCAGGGGUGUGUGAGCAGCCAGUGCCCGAAGAUGUGGUUGGCACAGAAGCAGCACCAUCAUCGCCUGGAACCAUGUCCUCCUCAUUUGGGUCAGCUUUUGUACUAUUGUCUAGAAGUAAAUAAACAGUAAUUAAUA
Erpetoichthys calabaricus (reedfish) is the source of this 606-nucleotide long non-coding RNA. RefSeq lists it as uncharacterized. The transcript is spliced from 2 exons. The record is from RefSeq and is a predicted model, not a curated record. NCBI's taxonomy places the organism in Eukaryota, Metazoa, Chordata, Cladistia, Polypteriformes, Polypteridae.